GUAGUUAAUGUCAGUGUUUAGUUCAUUUAGUGAAAUGUUUUGAAAAGUGUCCCACGUGGGCCUUUGCUUUCUUUCCCAAGAGACAGCUUGACCCCUGCGAAUUCCCCAAAUGUGGGAAUCUCGACUGCAUAAUUUCUGGUAGUGGGGGACUGCGUUCGCGCUCUCCCCUG
This is a small nuclear RNA of Toxotes jaculatrix (banded archerfish), 170 nucleotides long. RefSeq annotates it as U1 spliceosomal RNA. NCBI's taxonomy places the organism in Eukaryota, Metazoa, Chordata, Actinopteri, Toxotidae. The record is from RefSeq and is a predicted model, not a curated record. The transcript has a single exon.